This is a long non-coding RNA of Stegastes partitus (bicolor damselfish), 251 nucleotides long. RefSeq lists it as uncharacterized. The transcript is spliced from 3 exons. NCBI's taxonomy places the organism in Eukaryota, Metazoa, Chordata, Actinopteri, Pomacentridae. The record is from RefSeq and is a predicted model, not a curated record.
UUGUGUUUGUGUGUAUGAGUGCGAGAUAAUCCGAUAACCGAUAACCUGGACGAGCUGCGGAUGUGGACAGGAUGUAAAGAUAUGGGGCAUACAUCCCAGGGAAGGAACAAACAAACAAACAGGCAGGAAGAUGUGAAACAAGUUUAUGUGACAUUUUGUGUAACCUGUUAUGUGACUGAACUGUAUAAGAAAGGGUUGGAGGAAAAGGUCUUAGUCUCACUCUGUCUGAUGGUAGGGAGAGUGAAACACAA